Molecule: long non-coding RNA, 334 nt
Organism: Ruditapes philippinarum (Manila clam)
Lineage: Eukaryota; Metazoa; Mollusca; Bivalvia; Venerida; Veneridae
Exons: 3
Source: RefSeq, a predicted model, not a curated record
CCAAGAGAUAACUAUGCAUUAUUUAGUAUUUUAUUUUCAAGGUUUGCAGCAUUGAGAAGUUUGAUUUUGGCGGGAUGUAUGAUCACUACACAACAAAAUGCCAUAACAAACAGUGCAUUUCCCACAAGAGACAAACUGACGUCACAUCUGCACGAGAAUCACGGUCAACGCCCGUAUGUAAAACCUGCUGCGACGCUGAUCUUUGCAAUUCUAAAUGCUCAAAUACGUCACUAAAUAGCACUGACGUCAUCAUUGUCGGAUAAAGCCAGAUAUUGACAUGGAUUUUUUGGUAAUGGGCAAAAAUCUUUAUACCUAAAUAAAGAGUUAAAGUAGA